UAAAGAAAGCGUAAUAGCUCACUGGUCGAGUCGGCCUGCGCGGAAGAUGUAACGGGGCUAAACCAUGCACCGAAGCUGCGGCAGCGAACGUAUCACCCAAGACAACUUUGCACAGUUGACGAUUGACGGAGCGAAGCGACGUCAAAGCGUUCAUUAAAGUCGAGUUGGCUUAGGGAUACGUUCGUUGGGUAGGGGAGCGUUCUGUAAGCCGUUGAAGGUGUGCUGUGAGGCAUGCUGGAGGUAUCAGAAGUGCGAAUGCUGACAUAAGUAACGAUAAAGCGGGUGAAAAGCCCGCUCGCCGGAAGACCAAGGGUUCCUGUCCAACGUUAAUCGGGGCAGGGUGAGUCGACCCCUAAGGCGAGGCCGAAAGGCGUAGUCGAUGGGAAACGGGUUAAUAUUCCCGUACUUGGUGUUACUGCGAAGGGGGGACGGAGAAGGCUAUGUUGGCCGGGCGACGGUUGUCCCGGUUUAAGCGUGUAGGCUGGUUUUCCAGGCAAAUCCGGAAAAUCAAGGCUGAGGCGUGACGACGAGGCACCACGGUGCUGAAGCAACAAAUGCCCUGCUUCCAGGAAAAGCCUCUAAGCAUCAGGUAACACGAAAUCGUACCCCAAACCGACACAGGUGGUCAGGUAGAGAAUACCAAGGCGCUUGAGAGAACUCGGGUGAAGGAACUAGGCAAAAUGGUGCCGUAACUUCGGGAGAAGGCACGCUGACACGUAGGUGAAGUGAUUUACUCAUGGAGCUGAAGUCAGUCGAAGAUACCAGCUGGCUGCAACUGUUUAUUAAAAACACAGCACUGUGCAAACACGAAAGUGGACGUAUACGGUGUGACGCCUGCCCGGUGCCGGAAGGUUAAUUGAUGGGGUUAUCCGUAAGGAGAAGCUCCUGAUCGAAGCCCCGGUAAACGGCGGCCGUAACUAUAACGGUCCUAAGGUAGCGAAAUUCCUUGUCGGGUAAGUUCCGACCUGCACGAAUGGCGUAAUGAUGGCCAGGCUGUCUCCACCCGAGACUCAGUGAAAUUGAACUCGCUGUGAAGAUGCAGUGUACCCGCGGCAAGACGGAAAGACCCCGUGAACCUUUACUAUAGCUUGACACUGAACAUUGAGCCUUGAUGUGUAGGAUAGGUGGGAGGCUUUGAAGCGUGGACGCCAGUCUGCGUGGAGCCAACCUUGAAAUACCACCCUUUAAUGUUUGAUGUUCUAACGUGGACCCGUUACCCGGGUUGCGGACAGUGUCUGGUGGGUAGUUUGACUGGGGCGGUCUCCUCCCAAAGAGUAACGGAGGAGCACGAAGGUUGGCUAAUCCUGGUCGGACAUCAGGAGGUUAGUGCAAUGGCAUAAGCCAGCUUGACUGCGAGCGUGACGGCGCGAGCAGGUGCGAAAGCAGGUCAUAGUGAUCCGGUGGUUCUGAAUGGAAGGGCCAUCGCUCAACGGAUAAAAGGUACUCCGGGGAUAACAGGCUGAUACCGCCCAAGAGUUCAUAUCGACGGCGGUGUUUGGCACCUCGAUGUCGGCUCAUCACAUCCUGGGGCUGAAGUAGGUCCCAAGGGUAUGGCUGUUCGCCAUUUAAAGUGGUACGCGAGCUGGGUUUAGAACGUCGUGAGACAGUUCGGUCCCUAUCUGCCGUGGGCGCUGGAGAACUGAGGGGGGCUGCUCCUAGUACGAGAGGACCGGAGUGGACGCAUCACUGGUGUUCGGGUUGUCAUGCCAAUGGCACUGCCCGGUAGCUAAAUGCGGAAGAGAUAAGUGCUGAAAGCAUCUAAGCACGAAACUUGCCCCGAGAUGAGUUCUCCCUGAGACUUAGAGUCUCCUGAAGGAACGUUGAAGACGACGACGUUGAUAGGCCGGGUGUGUAAGCGCAGCGAUGCGUUGAGCUAACCGGUACUAAUGAACCGUGAGGCUUAACCUU
This 1908-nucleotide ribosomal RNA is filed under the name Salmonella enterica. RNAcentral's name for it is "bacterial LSU rRNA". It matches the Rfam family "Bacterial large subunit ribosomal RNA", at positions 1124 to 2925 of the family's 2925-position model. The record is from RNAcentral. Lineage: Bacteria; Pseudomonadati; Pseudomonadota; Gammaproteobacteria; Enterobacterales; Enterobacteriaceae.